This 468-nucleotide ribosomal RNA is filed under the name uncultured bacterium. RNAcentral describes it as "partial 16S ribosomal RNA". It matches the Rfam family "Bacterial small subunit ribosomal RNA", at positions 28 to 507 of the family's 1533-position model. The record is from RNAcentral.
GACGAACGCUGGCGGCGUGCUUAACACAUGCAAGUCGAACGGAAAGGCCCUGCUUUUGUGGGGUGCUCGAGUGGCGAACGGGUGAGUAACACGUGAGUAACCUGCCCUUGACUUUGGGAUAACUUCAGGAAACUGGGGCUAAUACCGGAUAGGAGCUCCUGCUGCAUGGUGGGGGUUGGAAAGUUUCGGCGGUUGGGGAUGGACUCGCGGCUUAUCAGCUUGUUGGUGGGGUAGUGGCUUACCAAGGCUUUGACGGGUAGCCGGCCUGAGAGGGUGACCGGCCACAUUGGGACUGAGAUACGGCCCAGAAUCCUACGGGAGGCAGAAGUGGGGAGUAUUGCACAAUGGGCGGAAGCCUGAUGCAGCAACGCCGCGUGCGGGAUGACGGCCUUCGGGUUGUAAACCGCUUUCGCCUGUGACGAAGCGUGAGUGACGGUAAUGGGUAAAGAAGCACCGGCUAACUACGUG